This 253-nucleotide ribosomal RNA is filed under the name uncultured bacterium. RNAcentral's name for it is "partial 16S ribosomal RNA". It matches the Rfam family "Bacterial small subunit ribosomal RNA", at positions 524 to 776 of the family's 1533-position model. The record is from RNAcentral.
GACGUAGGGCGCGAGCGUUGUCCGGAUUUAUUGGGCGUAAAGAGCUCGUAGGCGGCUUGUCGCGUCGACUGUGAAAACCCGCGGCUCAACCGCGGGCCUGCAGCCGAUACGGGCAGGCUAGAGUUCGGUAGGGGAGACUGGAAUUCCUGGUGUAGCGGUGAAAUGCGCAGAUAUCAGGAGGAACACCGGUGGCGAAGGCGGCUUCCUGGACCGACACUGACGCUGAGGCGCGAAAGCUAGGGGAGCAAACGGG